RNAcentral lists this ribosomal RNA (365 nucleotides) under uncultured bacterium. RNAcentral's name for it is "bacterial SSU rRNA". It matches the Rfam family "Bacterial small subunit ribosomal RNA", at positions 527 to 896 of the family's 1533-position model. The record is from RNAcentral.
GGAGGAUCCAAGCGUUAUCCGGAAUCAUUGGGUUUAAAGGGUCCGUAGGCGGUCUUAUAAGUCAGUGGUGAAAUCUCCCCGCUCAACGGGGAAACGGCCAUUGAUACUGUAGGACUUGAAUUAUUAGGAAGUAACUAGAAUAUGUAGUGUAGCGGUGAAAUGCUUAGAGAUUACAUGGAAUACCAAUUGCGAAGGCAGGUUACUACUAAUGGAUUGACGCUGAUGGACGAAAGCGUGGGUAGCGAACAGGAUUAGAUACCCUGGUAGUCCACGCCGUAAACRAUGGAUACUAGCUGUUGGAAGCWAUUUCAGUGGCUAAGCGAAAGUGAUAAGUAUCCCACCUGGGGAGUACGUUCGCAAGAAUG